Molecule: unclassified non-coding RNA, 400 nt
Filed under: soil metagenome
Description: partial contains 5.8S ribosomal RNA, internal transcribed spacer 2, and large subunit ribosomal RNA
Rfam family: 5.8S ribosomal RNA (bases 1-122)
Source: RNAcentral
GAUGAAGAACGCAGCGAAAUGCGAUACUUGGUGUGAAUUGCAGAAUCCCGUGAACCAUCGAGUCUUUGAACGCAAGUUGCGCCUCAAGCCAUUAGGUUGAGGGCACGUCUGCCUGGGCGUCACAUAUCGUUGCCUGAUGCCAGUUUCCUCGUGAUGGGUGACUGUGCAGGGCGAAUGAUGGCUUCCCGUGAGCAUUGUUGCCUCAUGGUUGGUUGAAAAUUGAGUCCUUGGUAGGGAGCGCCGUGAUAGAUGGUGGUUGAGUGACGAACGAGACCCAAUCAUGUGAGACCCCUACCGAAUUUGGCCUCCAUGACCCACAUGCGUCUUUGGAACGCUCAUGACGAGACCUCAGGUCAGGCGGGGCUACCCGCUGAGUUUAAGCAUAUCAAUAAGCGGAGGA